Molecule: long non-coding RNA, 1141 nt
Filed under: Monodelphis domestica (gray short-tailed opossum)
Lineage: Eukaryota; Metazoa; Chordata; Mammalia; Didelphimorphia; Didelphidae
Description: lncRNA (ENSMODG00000041021.1)
Source: RNAcentral
GCAUUGGAUAGAGCAUUGCACCUGGAGUCAAGAAGACCUGAGAUCAAAUCCAGACUCAGACAUUUACUACCUGUCUGAUCCUAAGCAAGUCACUGAAAUUCUGCCUCAGUUUCCUCAACUAUAAAAUGAAGAUAAUAAUGGCAUCAACUUCUUGGGGUUGAUGUGAAGAUCAAAUGAGAUAGUAUUUAUAAAGCAUUUGGCACUUAAAAAAUUCCUGUUCUCCCCUCUCUCUGACCCUGAGCUCCUUGAAGAUUGGGGCUUUGUUUUCAUCUUUCUUUAUAACAUCAGCACUAACACAAUGCCUCACAUUUAGUAAUCAAUUACUAAAUGUUUGUUGACUAACUUCUUUCAUGGUUGGUUUUUUAAACCCCUUACCUCCUGCCUUGAAAUUGAUGCUAAAUGAGCAAUAAGGGCUCAGCAAUAGGGUUUAAGUGACUUGCCCAAGGUCACAGCUAGGAAGUGUCUGAGGUCACAUUUGAAGCCAGGACCUUCUAUCCCCCCUCUUUAUCCACUUUAGCCACCUAGGUGUCCUUCCUUUCAUAGUUCUUUCUGAGUUGUUCCCUCUCUCUUAAGGUACAUCAAAGUUACCUUGAUGCUACCAUAUCAAGGGGGUUAAAGGACAGUAGGUGGAAGAAGCACUUUUAAUAUUAAUGUUUAUAAAUGUGUAUAAUGUCAAAAAUUCCAUAAUUUGUGCCAAUAAUAAAAUCUCCAUAAUGUGUGUGUGUGUGUGUGUGUGAAAGGGGACUCUCUAACCAAUAACUUCAUAUUUGGUUUGACAAGUGUUUUAACAGGGCUAUCUUCUUAUUGUGGUAGCACAAGUCUCAAAUGACUAUGAAAUUAUUAACUAUCCCAGGUUCGUUGUGGGUGAUUUAGGACCUAAAGAUUACCUAUCUUUGGGCAGCUAGGUGACUCAUUGAAUUGUGAGACAAGUCUAGAGAGGGGCAGUCCUGGGUUCAACUAUGAACUCUGACUCUUAAUAGCUGUGUCACUCUGGGCAAGUCACUUAACCUCCAUUGCAUAGCCUUUUACCAUUCUUCUGCCUUAGAUUCAAUAUGUACUAUUGAUUCUAAGAUAGAAUGCAAAGUUUUUGUUUCCUUGUGUUUUAAAUAAAAAGGAAUAAAGUUUAGGUAAAGAGUUAAUG